This is a long non-coding RNA of Hordeum vulgare subsp. vulgare (domesticated barley), 1136 nucleotides long. RefSeq lists it as uncharacterized. The record is from RefSeq and is a predicted model, not a curated record. The transcript is spliced from 3 exons. NCBI's taxonomy places the organism in Eukaryota, Viridiplantae, Streptophyta, Magnoliopsida, Poales, Poaceae.
UUGAAGCCAUCGUAAUCUCUCUCUUUUUCACGUCUCUCUCAAUCUCUCCUAUUUUUUCUCUCUCUCUCAAUCUCCCAUGUUUCCCUUCCAAUAGAUAUGUUUUCUCCUCGGCCGUAAGGUUUUCACCGAUGUUAAAAACCAGCCACCUGAAGGAAUCAUAGACUCUCUUUCUCUCAAGUCUCUCUCUCUCAAGCUCUCAUUUUUUUCUUCCAGCAAAUCAAUUUUCUCCCUUGGAUUGGAGGAAUCUUUCCAAGAAAAGUCCAACCGAUCAAAUUAACAAUAAGUACAUGGGGUUAGAUGCAUAUCUCCAAGCCCGAUCUGCUGAUCCACGCCGAUGCUCACCAUAUCUCGGAGCACGAUCUGCUUUCUAACACGAUCCACGCCGAUGCUCACCAUAUCUCAGAGAGCUUAUGGGAAAUCUGCUAUAUCUUUAACAAGUGAGGAAAAGUUAAAGAGAAAUUCUCUAGUAUCCUUGAGUUAAUUCCAGAUGAACCAUCAUGGACUAACGACCUAAGGAAUGAAUCGUUAUCUGGAAUUAGCGCCCCCGGAGACCAGACUCGACGGUGGUAAGAUUGGUAUGUCGCACAUGCCUCAUAAUUUCUAUUCUGAAAUAGAAGUGGAUGUUCCAGAAUAUAAUUUGUUCAGUGUAGUUGAUGGUCUAAUCUCUUAUGAACUUAUUUGUUCUAUAGUGGCUGCAACCGGUGGAUUAAGGAAAUAUAUGCUACUUAAGUUUUGUGUAAGUUUGUAUUUUAGAGUAAAGGUUUGGAUAAUUGUAGAAAAUUUGACGUCUUCUGUACCUUAUUACAUUCAUAGUUAUGACUCCAAGAGCUAUAGAAUUUCCAUGAAAAACACAUAGGCUGCAUUGUGUUUGUGAUGUUAUGACGUACCACCUUGCAGCGAUUCCACUUGGAUAAUACGGAAGAGCAUGCACCUAGAAACAACGUGUUUGUAUUCUUCCGAAAAUGCUAGCAACUAAAUGUGUCAUCUGUAUAUAGGUGGUUGGCAUAAUUACAUGACCAUACGUACAUCAUGUUGCCGUCUCUGCCUUCAUUUGUUAUGACAUAUAUUUGAGAAUGAAGUGUGCAGUUCAGUUUGUGGUUGUUAGUAAACAUCUAAAAUAUUAUAUGUUCACGCAA